UCAGUAACACGUGGACAACCUGCCCUUAGGUUGGGUAUAAACCCGGGAAACUGGGUAUAAUACCCGAUAGGUCUCGAUUGCUGGAAUGCAUCGAGAUUUAAAGCUCCGGCGCCUAAGGAUGGGUCUGCGGCCUAUCAGGUAGUAGUGGGUGUAGCGUACCUACUAGCCUACGACGGGUACGGGUUGUGAGAGCAAGAGCCCGGAGAUGGAUUCUGAGACACGAAUCCAGGCCCUACGGGGUGCAGCAGGCGCGAAAACUUUACAAUGCGGGAAACCGUGAUAAGGGGAUCUCGAGUGCCAGCAUAUAAUGUUGGCUGUCCAGAUGCCUAAAAAGCAUCUGUUAGCAAGGGCCGGGCAAGACCGGUGCCAGCCGCCGCGGUAACGCCGGCGGCCCGAGUGGUAACCGCUAUUAUUGGGUCUAAAGGGUCUGUAGCCGGCCAGGUAAGUCCCUUGGGAAAUCUGGCAGCUCAACUGUCAGGCCGCUAGGGGAUACUGUUUGGCUUGGGACCGGGAGAGGUGAGAGGUACCUUGGGGGUAGGGGUGAAAUCUUGUGAUCCUCGAGGGACCACCAGUGGCGAAGGCGUCUCACCAGAACGGGUCCGACGGUAAGGGACGAAAGCUAGGGGCACGAACCGGAUUAGAUACCCGGGUAGUCCUAGCCGUAAACGAUGCUCGCUAGGUGUCAGUCACGGUGCGACCGUGAUUGGUGCCGUAAGGAAGCCGUGAAGCGAGCCACCUGGGAAGUAUGGCCGCAAGGCUGAAACUUAAAGGAAUUGGCGGGGGAGCACUACAACGGGUGGAGCCUGCGGUUUAAUUGGAUUCAACGCCGGG
RNAcentral lists this ribosomal RNA (831 nucleotides) under uncultured archaeon. RNAcentral's name for it is "bacterial SSU rRNA". It matches the Rfam family "Archaeal small subunit ribosomal RNA", at positions 90 to 922 of the family's 1478-position model. The record is from RNAcentral.